This 910-nucleotide ribosomal RNA is filed under the name Diplocarpon mespili. RNAcentral's name for it is "LSU rRNA". It matches the Rfam family "Eukaryotic large subunit ribosomal RNA", at positions 38 to 965 of the family's 3401-position model. Lineage: Eukaryota; Fungi; Ascomycota; Leotiomycetes; Helotiales; Drepanopezizaceae. The record is from RNAcentral.
GCAUAUCAAUAAGCGGAGGAAAAGAAACCAACAGGGAUUACCUCAGUAACGGCGAGUGAAGCGGUAACAGCUCAAAUUUGAAAGCUAGCCCGUCCCGGGUUCGCGUUGUAAUUUGCAGAAGAUGCUUCGGGUGGGGCCCCGGUCUAAGUUCCUUGGAACAGGACGUCGCAGAGGGUGAGAAUCCCGUAUGUGACCGGGCGCCUCCGCCCAUGUGAAGCUCUUUCGACGAGUCGAGUUGUUUGGGAAUGCAGCUCAAAAUGGGUGGUAUAUUUCAUCUAAAGCUAAAUAUGGGCCAGAGACCGAUAGCGCACAAGUAGAGUGAUCGAAAGAUGAAAAGCACUUUGGAAAGAGAGUUAAACAGUACGUGAAAUUGUUGAAAGGGAAGCGCUUGCAACCAGACUUGCGCGCGGGCGAUCACCCGGGCUUCUGCCCGGGGCACUCGCCCGCGCUCAGGCCAGCAUCGGUUCUGGUGGUGGGACAAAGGCCGGGGGAACGUAGCUCCCUUCGGGGAGUGUUAUAGCCCCCGGUGCAAUGCCGCCCACCGGGACCGAGGACCGCGCUCCGGCUAGGAUGCUGGCGUAAUGGUUGCAAGCGACCCGUCUUGAAACACGGACCAAGGAGUCUAACAUCUAUGCGAGUGUUUGGGUGUCAAACCCAUACGCGCAAUGAAAGUGAACGGAGGUGAGAACCCUGAAGGGUGCAUCAUCGACCGAUCCUGAUGUCUUCGGAUGGAUUUGAGUACGAGCAUAGCUGUUGGGACCCGAAAGAUGGUGAACUAUGCGUGAAUAGGGUGAAGCCAGAGGAAACUCUGGUGGAGGCUCGCAGCGGUUCUGACGUGCAAAUCGAUCGUCAAAUUUGCGUAUAGGGGCGAAAGACUAAUCGAACCAUCUAGUAGCUGGUUCCUGCCGAA